AUAUUUCACAAUGGGCGAAAGCCUGAUGCAGCGACGCCGCGGGGGGGAUGAAGGCCUUCGGGUUGUAAACCCCUUUCAGCAGGGAAGAAGCGAGAGUGACGGUACCUGCAGAAGAAGCGCCGGCUAACUACGUGCCAGCAGCCGCGGUAAUACGUAGGGCGCAAGCGUUGUCCGGAAUUAUUGGGCGUAAAGAGCUUGUCGGCUGUCAGUUGCGUCUGCUGUGAAACCCCGAGGCUAAACCUCGGGCCUGCAGUGGGUACGGGCUGAAUAGAGUGUGGUAGGGGAGACUGGAAUUCCUGGUGUAGCGGUGGAAUGCGCAGAUAUCAGGAGGAACACCGAUGGCGAAGGCAGGUCUCUGGGCCACAACUGACGCUGAGGAGCGAAAGCAUGGGGAGCGAACAG
This 402-nucleotide ribosomal RNA is filed under the name uncultured bacterium. RNAcentral's name for it is "partial 16S ribosomal RNA". It matches the Rfam family "Bacterial small subunit ribosomal RNA", at positions 361 to 775 of the family's 1533-position model. The record is from RNAcentral.